RNAcentral lists this non-coding RNA (182 nucleotides) under Pseudomonadales bacterium. RNAcentral describes it as "6S RNA". It matches the Rfam family "6S / SsrS RNA". Rfam says of the family: E. coli 6S RNA was the first non coding RNA to be sequenced, but its function was unknown until recently. It consists of 184 nucleotides that fold into an extended hairpin structure with a large single-stranded internal bulge. Lineage: Bacteria; Pseudomonadati; Pseudomonadota; Gammaproteobacteria; Pseudomonadales. RNAcentral also lists the same sequence under 1 other name. The record is from RNAcentral.
CAUGUCCUGAGAUGCGCGCCAGUCGGUUUCGUCCUUGAGCCGAUAAUGCAAACUCCCACGGAUGUAUCUCGUUCACUGCCGGUGUGCAUGUCCGCCUCGCGGAAAGCCUAAAGGCAAUGCUGAUACACCCACCUUGAACCUUGGGUUCAAGGCUACGCCGGCAGCGGCAUCUCGGGUCCUCU